CCCUUAGAUGUUCCGGGCCGCACGCGCGCUACACUGAAUGGAUCAACGUGUUUUCCCUUCCCGAGAGGGACGGGUAACCCGCUGAACCCCAUUCGUGGUAGGGAUCGGAGCUUGCAAUUGUUCUCCGUGAACCAGGAAUUCCCAGUAAGCGCAAGUCAUAAGCUUGCGUUGAUUACGUCCCUGCCCUUUGUACACACCGCCCGUCGCACCUACCGAUUGAAUGGUCCGGUGAAGGCUUCGGAGGCGGCUUUCUCAAUGUUUAUUCGGCGAGACUGCUGCCAAAGUUGAAUGAACCUUACCAUUUAGAGGAAGGUGAAGUCGUAACA
RNAcentral lists this ribosomal RNA (326 nucleotides) under uncultured eukaryote. Its description in RNAcentral is "partial 18S ribosomal RNA". It matches the Rfam family "Eukaryotic small subunit ribosomal RNA", at positions 1470 to 1796 of the family's 1831-position model. The record is from RNAcentral.